CCUCCCAUCUCAGCCUCCCAAAGUGCUGGGAUUAUAGGCAUGUGCCACUGCACUUGGCCUGAAUGAUCUUUCAUUCAGUUACUUAAAAUGACACUUUUAGUGGGGGCAUAGGAGCUCAUGCCUGUAAUCCAAGCACUUCACAAGGUGAAGGCAAGAGGGUCCCUUGAGCCCAGCAGUUGGAGACCAGCCCAUGAUCUCACUAGCUAUGGUGAGAUCCCAUAGCAACAACAAUUUUAAAAAUUAGCUGAAUGUGUGGUGUCAUGUGCCUGUGAUCCCAGUUACUCAGGAAGCUGAGCUGGGAGAAUCACUUGAACCCCGGAGGUUGAGGCUGCAGUGAGCAGUGUUCACACCACUGUGCUCCAGCCUGGGUGACAGGGCAAGAGCUUGUCUCAAUCAAUCAAUCAUCAAUCAAUCAAUCAAUUCAACAUGAGUGAAACCACAGCACUUGGGACAUCUGGAAGACUGGACGCGUGAGGCCUGUCCUACUUGCUGAGUAGUCCAACACCCUACCCCCAGGCAGUCUUCCCUGCUCUUGCACACUUCUCUCUCCUGCCAUCCUCUGAAGAGGUGCCUUUCACCAUGACUGUAACUUUCCUGAGGUCUCCCAAGCUGUGCAGAACUGUUAGUCAAUUAAGCUUCUUUUCUUUAUACAUUACCCAGUCUCAGGUACUUCUUUAGACUAAUACAGCACCAUUGAGGAUUUGUUUCUCACUUUAUUUCACUAAGGUAAAAACAGUGGGGGGAAUAAAGUAGAGAAAACAAUACCUGCAAGUAGAAAAGACCCAAAGAAAAUAUGAAACAGCCAUGAGCAACUGAGAUGCAGCAUGCCUUCGAAGUGGGUGCUAGAUUCAGGAAAUGUCUUCCAGGUUCCCCAAAGGAGAGCGAGCCACCUUAAAAUCAUUGGCAGUUUGGGUGAAGAAUGGCAAGGGCACUGUCUUGCACUACAGGGAUCAGCUGUGCCAUGUGCCACAUAACUUCUUUGAACCUCAGUUUCCUCGUCUGUUUAAGUUGAAAAAUGAGAUUUGCCCUACCCACAGCUCCCCACCUUCACAGUCACAGCUCAGAGAGAAGGUGUCAGCACAUGUGUAUGGUGCCCUGAGGCACGUGGACAGUUUCUUGCCACCAGAAACCACCAGCCCAGGGGCCCGCCACCCAGGCUACCUCUGGGGUAUCCUCAGAGCUGAGAGGAGGAUCCAUGCUGCCACCUGCCCAAAGCCCACUUGUGGUGCUCUGGGAAGGUCAGAUUUCAACAUUAAAUGACAUGAGCUGAAAGUUGACGGAGUUUUGAGACUUGUAGUAGGAAAGAGGAUUUGUUAUCAGCUUAUUCUUGUGGGAGGACCUGAAGUCGUCUCAGUACUUAUUUGUGGCUUGCCUUCGAAAGCAUGGAGGAGGCUAAUUCCUCCAACCCGACACAACACACAAAUUGUCCUUCUUCUGCCUUUCCUUCUCUCAUCGCGGGUGAGCGAGUGGGAGAGACAAAGGAAGCAAUGACAGCAAGGUGAAAUGAAAGGAAGGGGAGACCACGAAGGAUUGGCCUUCUGACACCCCUCAGAGGAUGGCUUCAGAGAUGUUUCUGCUCAUUGUGGGCACUGAGAAAGGCCACGAUUUUUUUUCUAGAAAAGAGUGAGACUUUGGCAAGAAUGAAGGCAAGGAGAGAAGAUGCAUGAAAAUGUGUUGGCCUGCUCCUGAAUUGUUCCCAGGACAUGGCUGGGGGAAAAUAGAAAUCAAAGAUCCAUCAAGUCA
Long non-coding RNA from Cebus imitator (Panamanian white-faced capuchin), 1743 nucleotides. RefSeq lists it as uncharacterized. NCBI's taxonomy places the organism in Eukaryota, Metazoa, Chordata, Mammalia, Primates, Cebidae. The record is from RefSeq and is a predicted model, not a curated record. The transcript has 2 exons.